Molecule: long non-coding RNA, 227 nt
Filed under: Vitis vinifera (wine grape)
Lineage: Eukaryota; Viridiplantae; Streptophyta; Magnoliopsida; Vitales; Vitaceae
Description: long non-coding RNA (VVIN_LNC000203)
Source: RNAcentral
UCUUUAACAGUUGGUAUGGUGGGGCAUUCACUCACUAGAUGUUCACUGGAUUGACAUAUAGAGCAUUGAACAAUUUGCACUAGAACAUUAUUAGCCACUUUGAUUUCAUGAGCUCCUCUAGCUUCAAGUUCUUCCAAUCUCCUUGAUAGAGAUGACAUUUUUGCUUAUAUGUCUACAUCCUCAUUCAAAGUGUACAUUCCCCCUUUAGAAUUGUUUUAGGACUUUGC